Molecule: ribosomal RNA, 468 nt
Filed under: uncultured bacterium
Lineage: Bacteria
Description: bacterial SSU rRNA
Rfam family: Bacterial small subunit ribosomal RNA
Source: RNAcentral
UUCCUACGGGUGGCUGCAGUGGGGAAUUUUGGACAAUGGGCGCAAGCCUGAUCCAGCCAUGCCGCGUGCGGGAAGAAGGCCUUCGGGUUGUAAACCGCUUUUGUCAGGGAAGAAAUCCUUUGGGUUAAUACCCCGGGGGGAUGACGGUACCUGAAGAAUAAGCACCGGCUAACUACGUGCCAGCAGCCGCGGUAAUACGUAGGGUGCAAGCGUUAAUCGGAAUUACUGGGCGUAAAGCGUGCGCAGGCGGUUUUGUAAGACAGAGGUGAAAUCCCCGGGCUCAACCUGGGAACUGCCUUUGUGACUGCAAGGCUUGAGUGCGGCAGAGGGGGAUGGAAUUCCGCGUGUAGCAGUGAAAUGCGUAGAUAUGCGGAGGAACACCGAUGGCGAAGGCAAUCCCCUGGGCCUGCACUGACGCUCAUGCACGAAAGCGUGGGGAGCAAACAGGAUUAGAUACCCUAGUAGUCG